This is a long non-coding RNA of Eriocheir sinensis (Chinese mitten crab), 1845 nucleotides long. RefSeq lists it as uncharacterized. NCBI's taxonomy places the organism in Eukaryota, Metazoa, Arthropoda, Malacostraca, Decapoda, Varunidae. The transcript has 3 exons. The record is from RefSeq and is a predicted model, not a curated record.
GUGGCAGGCACCUGUGCACAGAUGGCAGCACCAGUGUAGCACCAUUCACUGAUUGCGACAAUUAUUACAAAAUACGAUUAUCAGAUUAGCAUUAAAAACGUCUAUUUAUCCUUUACAUUUAAAAAUAAAUCAGUUAUUGACGUUUUUAACAAUAGGUAUAAUCAUGCAGCAUUAUUUGUGAGUGGAAAAUUAUUGGGUCAAACAAGCAAAUACUAAUAGCUGUUAAGUACGAUAAUCCCGUGACGCUGCCGCUGCCCCGUCCCCUCCCGCCACUGUGUUCACAACAAGCGCCGCCGUUGAACACCGUGACCCCGGGCCGCCCCUUCACGCAUGAUGCAGCGUGUCGGGUCAGCGCGGGGCGGGGCGAGGCGUGGCAGGGCGGCUGACGGACUGUAUACGCGGGAGGCAGAUGGCUACGGGGAGAAUGUAAACCCUUUAAUGGAACAACCAAAAUAAGGGAGUUAAAAAUCCGGAGUCCCUGAGGCUGCAGGUGUGACGGGAGGCCGCCCCGAACACAAUGGCUCGUCAUAUACGGAACACCUCGCCCCGAUAUGGUCCAGGUCCACUCACGGGUUAUAAAUGGUCGGACUUAAUGGCCAUUCGUCUCGUCGUCUCUCCUCUGGUUGGCUCUUCACUUUCUUUCUCUUCGCGGUGAGGCAGUCACUUCCAUAUCCCUCGCCGGCUUUUGUUAAUAUUGCUGAUGGUUUCCCAUUAUAAGUUUCUUGUCCUGGGUUUCUAUACAUUUUUCCUCACUGCCAAUUUUUCUUAGUGUAACAACGAAUACUAUUUUGUACUCGAGACCUACUUAACUAUUGCUAGAUACACUUAAAUGAAAGUAAUUUUAUUUUCCUCUUUUAAAACAUAAUAAAUCUAACGUGACCAAUCUUUUGAUACCACUCCUGUCUUUUGUUUUUGUCUGUUUCUGUUUCCGAAUCUCCUUCUGUCUUUCCGUUUCUGUUCCUGCAUGUCUUGUUCCUGUCUUUCUUUCUUAGUAUUCUGUUUGUCAUCACUUAUAUUUUUUAUGUGCUGUUAUCUGUUUCCGGCUCUCCUCCUGUCUUCUGUUACUGUUCCUGUCAUCUGUUUACGUGAGGGGAGUAUCAAAACACUUUUCCAACCUAUUGUAAUAUGUCCAGUCCUUCUGAACUACUACUGUUCGUGGGAGCACCGAUUUGCAGCACCUUUGUUUGUGUUAUUUUUACUAUUAAUCUGCCUCGUUUGAUGUAAGACAAUGGAUACUAUUACGAAGGUUUUGUCAGUUGGUUGUUAUUGGUGUCCCUGGAGUGGUGAGGGUCGCGGGGUGUGGUGAAGAAGGCCAGGCAGAAGGGGAGGGGCGGCGAGGCGAGGCAAGUGUUUGUACCGUUACACUCCAAGCGGCUCAGACCCUGCUCAGACAGACAGGCAGGCUUCGCGGGUCGUCUGGCAAAUGACGCGAAAUAUUUUGUUGCAUUCUGGUUUCGUUACGGUUUUGCUUUGUUUAUUUUUAUUGAUCUUUCACAUUGUCAUUAUUUAUUUAUUUAUUAAUUUGUAUAUGUAAUUAAUUUUAUUUAUUUAUACUUUUUACAUUGUCACUUUUUACACUUCGUUGUUCUUUCAUGUGUUGCUAAUUUUUUGUUCAUUUAUAAAUUAUUUACUUAGGUCAUCUGUUCAUUAUUAUUUGUGGGUGCUCGCAUGAUAUGAUUUUGAUAAGUGAAUUAUUGACUGACAUAAAAGAUUGAACAAAUGAAUGAAUGAGUGAAUGAAUGAUGAAUGAACAAAUGAAUGAAUGACAAUUGCUGCAACAACCAUUACUGUGACUAGAAUAAUAAUUUUGAUGAUACUGAAGAGGAAGAGUUAGAGGAUGAGAAG